GUCAGCUGCUCGUUUUGUGACGGCUCACUUGUGUUUCCUAAAUAUCUUAGGACCCCGAGUUCUUGUUAUCUGUUCCGAGACUGAGCGCUCUAACCACACGUGGGUAUGCUUACCGGGUCUCCCCUCGAUCACUGCCGGAAUCUACAUCUUUGUCCAGUGGCCACAACUAGUUUGGAUGUUUGUUUUGUUUCUCUCGGGCGUGCAAGCUUGCUUCUUUAUGGUCAGAUGAUAUGAUAUUACUUUUGGGGAAGCCAUGAGUGCCUUGUAUCCCCGUUGUCUCUUGCACGUCCGUAGGUGCGGCACGUAUUGUUAAGAGGUCAUCCUCUAGUGGGCUCUGAUCCUCUUAACCGUUCUCGCAACAGCUAGGUCCGCGUCAGAGUUCCGAUCGGGCUCUGAAACGGGUUAACUUAGUUAGGUGGCUUCCUGGACAUUGUUGUGGUGAAGGAGAGUGCGAGUCGUGAUAUCCAUCUGUCGCAAGUGGGUUGAGCGUGCGUGUGGGCACAUUUGGGCACCCCUGCAGGGUUACAAUCUUAUCGAUAAGCCGCGUCCGCGGUUAUGGACGACUUGGAGCUGUAUGACUUGACCAUAGACAACUUACACCUGUUGUUUCAAUCAUAAUAACUUGUGUAGUAAGUUAGCACAACUCUAAUAAUAAAUGGUUAAAACUUUACAACCGUGUGAGUGCCUUUGUUAGUACUUCUUGGCGAAGGGGGAACACAUUGGCUGUGUUUUGUUUGCAGAGUAUAGAACUGUUAGUUACGCUCUCUCACCUUCUCUGAUUAGACGACUGUUGUAGAGUGUCUCUAUAGGUUUUUAGUGCUUGCGCUGCCGCUUAACUCCACCAUAUUGCCUAUGACGUUCCUCUUGCGUCCUCUAAGUCCCCUGCGUGCCUCAAGUACAAAGGACGACUGGUUGACGAAUGCUUAUACGUCUUGAAGUCUUGUUAAGUACGAACCGUACUUAUUGCUGCUUCUACGGGAUAUAACCGGGCAGGUAUGAAGAUAUGUUCGAUGAAGACGACGUUAGCGAGGUUACCCUUCCGGCUUGGCCUGGGCAGGGUUAUGGACGCCACUGGUUAUCUUCAGGACUCUUAGUCCAAGUUGUAUCUUGUCCGUACUCGGACGUAAUCGAUAUUUGUAUGAUUUGGAUCUUUGUAUUGUAUAUUUGUAUCUUGACUCGUUGGAGUCGUUGUUGUAAUAUAUGUAUCUUGUGGGCUCUAUUGUAAUCCUGUUGUAAUGUUACUACUCGUGGUAAUUCCUCUGGCAUCA
Non-coding RNA from Lolium perenne, 1268 nucleotides. The record is from RefSeq and is a predicted model, not a curated record. Lineage: Eukaryota; Viridiplantae; Streptophyta; Magnoliopsida; Poales; Poaceae.